AUUGAACGCUGGCGGCAGGCCUAACACAUGCAAGUCGAGCGGUAACAGGGGUAGCUUGCUACCCGCUGACGAGCGGCGGACGGGUAAGUAAUGCAUAGGAAUUUACCCGAUAGUGGGGGAUAACCUGGGGAAACCCAGGCUAAUACCGCAUACGUCCUACGGGAGAAAGGGGGCUUCGGCUCCCGCUAUCGGAUGAGCCUAUGUCGGAUUAGCUGGUUGGUGAGGUAAUGGCUCACCAAGGCGACGAUCCGUAGCUGGUCUGAGAGGAUGAUCAGCCACAUCGGGACUGAGA
This 292-nucleotide ribosomal RNA is filed under the name uncultured bacterium. Its description in RNAcentral is "partial 16S ribosomal RNA". It matches the Rfam family "Bacterial small subunit ribosomal RNA", at positions 30 to 324 of the family's 1533-position model. The record is from RNAcentral.